UAAUCUCACUACGAUUGACUUUGUCGUCUUUCUGUAUGUGGACUUGGAUGUUGUCGUGGAUAUCCACGACUCGUCUGAAAUGCUUGAGUGUACCCUGCUUUGCGGCGUAUUCGGUGUGAUACAUCUUCACCGGAGUUGAUCCUUUUGGGUCGCGUCUAUACAAGUGUGGCUCUAUGCUUCCAACCGUCUUCCAGGAGACAAUGUUUGACA
RNAcentral lists this unclassified non-coding RNA (210 nucleotides) under uncultured Sebacinaceae. Its description in RNAcentral is "sequence contains ITS2". The record is from RNAcentral. Lineage: Eukaryota; Fungi; Basidiomycota; Agaricomycetes; Sebacinales; Sebacinaceae.